Molecule: unclassified non-coding RNA, 384 nt
Filed under: uncultured Phycisphaeraceae bacterium
Lineage: Bacteria; Pseudomonadati; Planctomycetota; Phycisphaerae; Phycisphaerales; Phycisphaeraceae
Description: contains 16S-23S intergenic spacer region
Source: RNAcentral
UCCGGCUUAACGCCGGCAGUCUCACUAGAGUCCUCAGCAUUACCUGGUAGCAACUAAUGAUAGGGGUUUCGCUCGUUAAGGGACUUAACCCGACACUUCACAGCACGAGCUGACGACAGCCAUGCAGCACCUGUGCAUGUUCCACCCGAGGGUGUGGCUCCUGUUUCCAGGAGUUAAUCCAUGCAUGUCAAACCCAGGAUAAGGUUCUUCGCGUUGCCUCGAAUUAAGCCACAUGCUCCACCGCUUGUGUGAGCCCCCGUCAAUUCCUUUGAGUUUUAAUCUUGCGACCGUACUCCCCAGGCGGUGCACUUAUCGAUUUCUUUUCGGCCCCGACGGCGUCAAAACCUCCAGGACCUAGUGCACAUCGUUUAGGGCGUGGACUAC